Molecule: long non-coding RNA, 12564 nt
Filed under: Marmota monax (woodchuck)
Lineage: Eukaryota; Metazoa; Chordata; Mammalia; Rodentia; Sciuridae
Source: RNAcentral
AACUUUUUUUUCUUUUUUCAGGUUCUUAAUAAAGGUGCUAAGAAAGAAUGUAACACAGGAAAAUAAUUAAAUAUUUUCACUGUGGUAAGUGUUUUAUGAUUUUACAUUUUAAAAAUUCUUUAAUUUUUAUUAUUUUUUAGUUCUGCUUCCUUAAGUUAUAAAAGGGAUAUUGUUUUAGGAGCAUUUGACUUCAUAGAACCUGUGGUUGGUAAGGUGGAUGCCAAUAAUGUGGGCUGUUUGAAUAAUGACGUUUGUCUUUCCCUCUCUUUGACUCUAAUAUUUUAAUUUCUAUUAUCUUGUCAUUAUAAAGUAUGGUUCUGAGAAGGAGAUCCUGUAUUACAUCUACUUGCAACAUUCAAUGAAUUCUUUCCUCUUAAAUAGGAAGUUGAAAAGAUUUGAAGUAAUUUUGGUGAUAUAGAGGCAUUUCUAAAAAGUUUGUUGUGAUUUUUUAUUUUACUAAUUAGAAAAAAUUUUACCCAUAUAAAACAACAUAAUGACAAAAGUCAGCCCUCAACUCCUGCACAAAGAAAUAGCCACCAUUAACUCACUUUUGGAAACUUAUUGAUGGAUAUGAAAGUAUACAGAAGACUUUAAAUAAACAGCAGUUUUUCUCUAUAUGAAGCUAUGUGGUCAUUUUUAAUGUGUUUUAUGUAUCUCUAUUUGUGAGUUGAAACUGAUGUGCAUAAUCAUGGGUGAUCAUUUUACUGGCUGCCUAGUUUGUUUUUUUAAUUAUUUUUUUAGUUGUCAAUAGAUCUUUAUUUAUAUAUGCAGUGCUGAGAAUCAAACCCUGUUCUUUACAGGUGCCAGGCAAGUGCUCUACCACUGAGCUACAACCCCAGCCCUUGCUGCCUAGUUUUCCAUCAUUUAGAGGCAUCGUACUUUAUCUAGCUACUCCUUUGAUAACUAUUUAGAUUGUUACUUGUUUUUCUUUCUUGUGAAUAAUGGCAUGUUGAUAAUAGUAUACUUAUUCAUUUAUCUUCUUAGAGGUAUAACUGCCAGGUCAAACAUUAUAUAUAUUUUAAAUAUUAAUAAAUAUGGCUGAGCCGUUGUCUGUAAAAACUAUCCCCUUCAAUGUCCAUGAGAAUCCUAUUUUUAAAACCCUUGCUCACACCAAGUUUUCUUAAUCUUUUUAAUCUUUGCUAAUCCAAUAUGGGAAAAAAAGUACAUUUUUUGAGAUAACAUGUUUUUUACUGGUACUGGGGAUUGAACCCAGGGGCACUUCCCCAGUAAAUUAGAUCCCCAGGACCUUUUAUUUUUUAUUUUUUUUUUUAUUUUGAGACAGGGCCUCGCUAAGUUGCUGAGGCUGUCCUUGAACAGUGAUCCUCAACAGUGAUCCUCUUGCCUCAGUCUCCUGAAUUGCUGGGAUUACAGGUGUGUUCCACUGUACUCAACUAUUGAAGGAAACCUUGUGUUAUUCAAAGAUUUCUUUCAUUCAAUAUUCUUAUUAACAUAAAUAAUUCUCUUCUUAAGGACAUACUUGUGAUUCUUAUAUGUCAGAUAUUCUUAGGCUUAAAUGUGAUGAAAAUAUUUAAAUAUAUUGAGUUGUUUUUAGGUCUUUUGCCUUGAUUUUAACUCAUUAUCAAUAUUUGAAAACUUGAGGGUUGGGGAUGUGGCUCAAGUGGUAGCGUGCUAGCCUGGCAUGUAUGAGACACUAGAUUCAAUCCUCAGCACCACAUAAAAAUAAAAUAAAGAUAUUGUGUCCACCUAAAAAGUAAAUAUUAAAAAAAUAUAUUUGAAAUCUUGAUCAACUAGCUAUAAUUGUUUUGAAUACAGAAUGUUUUCCUCUGCAAAGAGCAGUACUUUUGUGUUUUAUUCACCUGAAGGGAAGCCUAAAAUAACUUUCAAAAUAAUUUUUUUAACAAUUUUCAAACAUGGAUACCAAUGGCUGAAUAGCAUAUAGAAUAUUAUUUCCAUAAUUGGUUGAUAAUAUAGUGUUUUUGAGUUAUGUAAACUAUGUGAUUGUGUGUUCAUGUGUAAACCUGUGUGUAUUUCUUCUGUCCAAAAGAUUUUAUCACUUCCUGAUGUAAAUAUGAUUUUUAAUUUUAUGUUUGCUUUAGGUUUUAUUUCAAUCAAAUAAGAGUUACAUAUAAGGAUGGCCUCACAUGAAGCAGAUUCACAACUUUGUCAUUUACCUACUGUUUAUUCUUUGGCUUAAUAAGAAAACAUUAAACUGUCUUCUCUAUAUAAAGUACAUCUAGAUUGCUUUUCCUGAGGGGGCUUUUGUUUUCAUUUCAAUUAACAUUGUUUACUGAAUACCCCAAGGUUAGGACCAUAUGGUCCAACUGGUGAUUUAUUCACUAGUUUUUAUUCAGCACUGAAUACCUACCUACCUGGUAGGCAUCCACAGGUGCUAGGCAAGUGCUCUACCACCCAAAUCAUUAUUUACUUAUUUGUUUAAUUUUUUGGUACUGGGGAUUGAAUCUAGGGGAACUUUACCACUGAAAUACAUCCCCAGCCCUUUUUUAUUUUAUUUUUAUUUUGAUACAGGGUCUUGCUAAGUUGCUUAGGGCCUCACUAAGUUCCUAAGGCUGGCCAUGAACUUAGGAUCCUCCUGCCUCAGCCUCAAUCUCCCAAUGGUUGAUGUGUAUUGUCAUUAUUAGGUUAAAGAUGUGAAAGAGAAUAGCCAUACAUUUUAAUUUAGAGAAGAGUAACAUGAUUUCAUUUAAAUUUAGAUGUGCAUAACUGUAUGGCACUUGCUACUAUUUCAUUUGAUGGAACUUUGUUUCAAAUUUUGAUUUGGACUAUAUUCUACUUACUUUUUAGAAUCACAUAAGCCCUGUAGUUUAAAUCUUUUUUUUUUUUUUCCAUUAUGGGCAGAGUAAGUAUUUAAACUAGGUAUGCUGCUAGAUCUUGUUUAAAAUCUGUUAAUGUUUCCCAGUAUAGACAUGGCAAUGUUUUUCACAAUAUGAUGUUUAAAAAUAAGGAUAAAGGGGCUAGGGAUGUGGCUCAAGUGGUAGCGCACUCACCUGGCAUGUGUGCGGCCCCGGUUCGAUCCUCAGCACCAUUCUCUUUCUUUCUCUCUCUCUCUCUCUCUCUCUCUCUCUCUCUCUCUCUCUCUCUCUCUCUCUCUCAGAAAAAAAAAGAAAAGAAGGAUAAAGUAAAUGCUCCCCAAAAUAAAGUAAAUAUAAUUGUAUGGUUCACAUUUUUAAAAAUAAAAUCAGAGAAAUGAAUUGCCAGACUUUGAGUAGAAUGAAUAGAUUUUUGUCUGGGACAUGUCUGUGAAGCUUUUCUGACUCCUAAACCAGUUUUUCAUAGCCAAAGUAAACAGAGAGAUGGAACAAUUAAUGAUCUAAUAGAUUUAAGCAGUGUUUUAGUCUGGAUUUUAUAUAGUUCAUUUCUGUUGGAAUACAGGAUUCUAAAGAAUAAAUGUAACUAGUUUUAAUUAGUAUUUUUGCAGAAGACAUUUGCAUGUGAAAAUUUUAAAAUCAAAUAAUCCUCUAGCAAUUUUUAUUUGCACUUUAAUUUGCCUAGCAGUUGUUUCUUUUUAAUAUUUAUUUUUUAGUUGUAGUUGGACACAAUACCUUUAUUUUAUUGAUUUAUAUGUGGUGCUGAGUAUUGAACCCAGGGCCCUGCAUGUGCCAGGCAAGCACUCUACUACUGAGCCACAACCACAGCCCCCAGCAAUUGUUUCUUAAUACAUAGUCCAAAAUUAAAUCAAGGCAGACUUGAAAUUAUUGAGUCUUCAUUAUUGGGCCAAAUUAAUGAGGUUUUCCUGAACUUUUCCUUCUGGGAUCUUAUUAUGGCUAGUGAUGUAAUCUUAUUUGUUUUCUAAAAUAUUGAAGUUCGAUAUUUUUGAAUCUCUUUUCUGUGGCAGUACAGGAAUUUGUUUAUACAGUGCCUUUUAUUUUACUGAUGAGUUCAUUUCUUUAAUUGUGUGCCCUAAAGCCUACUAAAAAUAUUCCUGGAUAGUGAGGGAUUAAAUAGAAAUUGUAAUUAAAAUGAAGGAUUUAUCCUUUAUUUCUCCUGUUAGCUGCAUUUGUUAAAAUUUUUAUACAACAUUUAAAUAAAUAUUAAGACUUUAUUACAGGGCUGGGAUUAUGGCUCAGUGGUAGAGUGCCUGCCUGGCAUGUGUGAGGCACUGGGUUUGAUCUCGGCACAACAAUAGAUAAAUAAAUAAGUAAACAAACAAAUAAAUAAAUAAGUAAAUCUAUUAUGUCCAUCUACAACUACUAAAAAAAAGGACUUUAUUAUAUAUUAUAUUGGUUGGAUUUUGUGCAUUUGAAACAGUUUCUUCCUAUAUUAGGCAUAAAGCUUAGUUUAGACUGGUAUAGUAAGUGAUCAUUUGAUUGGAAAGUUGGGUAGACUGAGAAGUCCAGUCUUCCUGUGCAGAAUUUGAGACUUUGUACUCUUUGAGAUGAAACAGCUUUGCAAUCAGGGUAGUAGUACUGAGCUGCCAGUGGGAGGAGAGAUGCCAGAUGCUGGUAUACAGUGUAGAUGAGAGCCCCUCAGGGUUUCCUUCUAUAGAUUCUGCAACUGACCAGGUCUUCCCAAGGGGCACUGUUAACUCAAAGUCUUAUGAGUAGAGUUUUAGAAAGGGGAGGAAAUAAGAGUAGCUUUGGGGCACAAGGUCCAUAAUGAGCUCAGAGCUUAGUGAAACUCCCAAAGUUCUGAAUGUCCCAUCAUCCUGAGAAAUUUCCUCCCUCCUAACCCUGAAAGUUUUGUCCAGUGUGUGACAUAAUGCAAAUUUGUGUGGAGCUAGCAGAGCAAGUCUAUUACUACAGAGUCUAGAUGCUGUCUUUAAAUGGACAUCCAGCAUGGGAAUAUGGCUGAAAACCACUACCCCCUCCCCACAUCUUAUCUAUAGCAGUGCAAUUGGAAUUUCACACAAGCUUUUCCUUCUUUGGUUUGUUUAGAGAGGACACCUAGGUGCAGGUUGUGUUUGUGUAUUUUAAACCCCCUGUGAUUUGUUUUAGAUAUAUUUCAGUCUGUUAAAAUAUAACAGUUUUUUUUUUUUUUUUUUUUUUUUAGUCUGAACAUUCUAGCAGCCAACAUUAACUCAAACAUUAAUUGCUGUCAAUGGGAAAGGAUAUCUUUCCACAUCUUUUCUUGGUGCUUACACCAUCCCACUUCUUUUUUCUUUUACCUUAAUAACAGAUUACUGACACUUGGGAAUUAUAAACAUAUUGCAGCAAUCUUUAUGGAAAGAUUACCAAUUAUUGCACUGCAAAAUAAACAUUUCUUUCUAAUAGAGUGUUUCUCUCCAUGUCUUUCUUUCUCUCAGUUUAGUGCUUUUAAAUACCUUUUAGGUGAAUGAAUGCUUUGUGUCAUGCUGUGAUUUAAUAUUUUUAAGAGACUUUAUUGAUAGCUUUUUAAAAAACCUAUGUGGGAGGAGGAUGAAGGAGAAAGAUUAUUCAUUCAAUGUGAAAUCUUCAUAGAUCUUUAGAUGUCCACAAGGUAGAAGGAUGGCUAAUGUUAAUUACCCCUACUCUGGUAUAGUUCUGAAAUUAGUAUUUGCUGUGAAGAGUUGUGAACAGUGAGAAUAUUUGUGGUGGGCUGUGGAUUGAGCAUUGCAGUGUGCUCUUUGUGCUGAUUAGAUCCAGAAGUUUUGUGGAACCCUGGAAUACACCAUCUAUUUCCAUUUCCACUGCCCAAAUCAGGAGAAAUAAAAGCUUGCACAUACACAUACUGGCUAAGUGGCUACACACAGAGUUCAAUUUGAAUGUCUUCACAAAGCCAAUCCAGCAAAGCUACCAGAAAUUAGGUGUUGAAGAUGAAAUAGCAGUUUUUGUUUUGUUUUGUUUUGUUUUUUAAUUAAAAGUAGCAUUUUUAAAGGAGCAAUAGUCUCCUUCUCUUAUCUUUACUGUAGAACAGCAUGGAAAAUUUAGGCUCUGCUGCAGUGUGUUAGGCACCUUUGUGACUUCCUGCUUUCUAGCUACUGGGCUUAGACAUCAUGAGUUGGUAUUGGCUCAUAUUGAGGAAAAAAUAAGGAAAUCACAUAAGGAGACAUAUAUAUCAAAGUAUAAUCUACCUGAUCAAUAGAUGUCAAUAUUUUUUCAAGGAGUACUCUUGAACCUGAAUGUAAAAUCUUAUAGAAGACAAAUCAUGAAUGUAUUUUGGUGUCCUGUAAAUGGUAUUGAGUAAAGAGUACAUUUAAGUGAGACUCAGAGCUGAAGCUUAGCUGUAAAGACCAGAUUCUGUGUAUUUAUUUAGAUAGAAAAGAUCUACAAAGGCCUGAAUUUUUUUGAAUGUCUGGGUUGGGCAUGUUUGCUCAUUCUCCCUGUCCACAUCUCUUAAUCUAUGAUAGAGCCAUUAGAGAGCAAGAUGACAUAGCCCGUCUCCUCACUGAUUCCUGAAGUUCAAGUGCAUCGGAUGCUGCUAAAAAAUGGCAGAAGCGCUGAUGUGUGAACUUGAUUAGGGAAGCUUCUGAAGUAGAUUGAUAUUUAUAGAAUUUGUAAAUAGGCAGGAUAACAGUGAAGAACAGUUUCUGUAUUUAUCUAGCUGAAUCUCAGCUUUAAAUUGCAUUGUCUGUCUCAUUAUUUAACCCUCAUUAUCCAAAUUGUUAUGCUUUUACCUUGUAAACCAAAAGGUAUCCCAUUCAUCAUAAAUAAUAAGAAGCUUUGUCACUGUUCUGACUAAAAGAUCUGACAAGAACAAUUUUAGAAGAGGAAUAGUUUAUUUAGGGGCUCAUUGUUUCAGAUGUCUCAGUCCACAGGUAGCUGGCUCCAUUCCUUGGGGUACAAAGUAAGGCUGAACAUCCUGAUGGAAGAGUGUGGAGGAGGGAAGCAGAGAUAGACUUGCUAAUUUAAUAAUUAACUUAAUAAUUUUUAUAUUAUCACAUGAUAAUCAGAAAGCAGAGAGAGAUUUCACUCACCAGAUGCAAAAUAUAUACCCAAAAGUCACACCCCAAAUAACCCAGCUCCUCCAUCCACACCCUACCCACCUUCAGUUGCCUCUCAGUUAAUUCCCAUCAGGAGAUUAAUUCACCUAUUGGGUUUAGGCUUUCAUAACCCAGUCAUUUCUCCUGUAAACUUUCUUGCAUUGUCUGGCGUAUGUGCUUUUGGGAAACACCUCACAUCCAAACUAUAACAUCUCCUUUGUUCUAAGAACUUGGGGCCUUAAAAUGCCAUCAGUGCCCUUAUGGGUAGAAGGGGUGGAUGGAAGGAAAGAGGCAAUCUGGGUUUUGUUUUUUGUGUGUUUGUUUGUUUUGUUGUUGUCGUUGUUGUUGUCGUUGUUGUUGUUUUGUUUUUAAAGUGAACUUACACCCAGUGAUUGAAAAUUUAUGAUGUAAGCCAGUAAGCACUCAUAAAGUAAGUGGCCUAAUUAAGAAUGAAAAAUUGAACCUGAUUUUACAAGUUUUUUGCCUAAAAACUUGGACGCAUGAAAUAUUGUGAGAAAUCAUUUUGAAUUUUGUUUGUUUAAAUUAUAGUAACUCUCUUGAUAUUCCUUAAAAUUACACAGGAUGAAAUCAUUUUUCAUAGUAUCCAUAAAUAUUGUAAGUCACUGUUUCUUUAGUCUGAGGCUUAGUAGACUGGGUGUCUACUAAGAAUGCAGUUCCACAGCUCAGCAGGUCCCAGGAUCUGAAGAAAAUUGUCUCCUUCAUCAGCCCAUCAGGACACAAAGGAGUAAAUCCAGAUUUGGUGGUGGUGAGGUGACAGUAUAAGACUAACCUGGGGCCUUCUGCAGGAAAACUUUCCCUGAAGCAAAUCUGAGGAUAGUAGCCAGGGAGACAGGCAUUAUUGACCUUUGGCCUUGUUUUUUAAGCAUAAUUUGAUUUUUUUUUUUUUUCUCAGAGAACUUUAGGGAAAUUCUCCUUUGUCUUUAGUUUAAUGUAGAAAUGGCCCCUGAAAAACCAACACAUUAGGAAAAUUUUUUUCUCAGCCUUGAGUAUAUUCACAUGUCACCAGGCUCUGAAAUGAGUUAUCACUGUGCUUUAUUAUUUUGCCUCAUAGCUAUUGCCUUUCUGAUCCUGAACUUGAGCACUUCAUGACCCAUCUUUUUAGCAGCCUUUUACACUGUGCUAGUGUUUUUUAAAUUUAUGGUUGAGUAAGUCAAGAUUUGGAUGGAAGGAAGAUGAAAUUGAAAUAUAUCUGUCACCAAUGUGUGUGUAUGUGCAUGUGCAUGUGAUAAAAAGCAUAUUGAUUCAACAUCCUCCUCAUUAUGUUAUAGACAAAGCAAAAAUAAGAAUGUAUAGUGAAAGGGCAUAUAUUGCCAGCAACAUGUUAGUAAGUAUUUAAAAUUCAGAGUAUCUUCUCUUUUUUAUUAUGCAGAAUAAAUGAUUAAAGCUGAAUAUUGGUGAACCACUCACUGCCUGUGCUCUUUGACUUGUUGGUGAUCCACUUUCUACAACAUCACAUCCACUUUUUUUUGUUAUAAAUAACUUUUCUAUGGGUUAUUUUCACUCUGCAACAAUCUCUUUAACCAAGGGAAGGAGAAUUCCUUUGGAAAAUACUCAAAUCUUUGGUACACAAUGAUUGCACAAUAAACACAGUUUCUGGGACAUCUUAAGGAAGGUUAAUUCUCUAGAAAAAUCAAAUUGGUUUGCAUUUGUUGGCAAAUUUGUUUCUGCAUCUCUUUGACCAACUCUAAACCUCCAGUUCCUUGACUUUCUCCUAAACUAGUCUUAACAUCUUCCUGAUUUCCUCAUUAAUUCAGUCAAGUAGAAUUUUUGACUUCUGGUUUUUUCUUUUUAAUGAGACUUUUAACUUUUUGAAAAUUAUACUUGCAAGAGUAUUGCCAACAUGAGCUUAUAUAACUCCCAUAUAAUGGUAAGACCCACUUCCAACCUCAUGCAUCUUUAAGUUAAACUUGGCCAAGUAAAAGAGAAUAACACACAUACAUACAUACAUGCUGUGUAAGAUAUAUAUAUAUAUAUAUAAUUUCUUAAAUGUAAAGAGAAGUAUAAAUUGGUUCUAUGAUGUUAAUAUAUGAAAAAUUACAAGUUAAUAUUAAUUUUAAGCUGGGGAUGUGGCUCAAGCGGUAGCGCACUCGCCUGGCAUGCGUGUGGCCCAGGUUCAAUCCUCAGCACCACAUACAAACAAAGAUGUUGUGUCCGCUGAAAACUAAAAAAAAAAUAUUAAAAAAAAAUUCUCUCUCUCUCCCUCUCUGUCUCUCUCUCUCUCUCUCCACUCUCUUAAAAAAAUAAUUUUAAGAACUACAGACAAUUUUAAGAGGCUGGCCUGUUGCUCAAUGGACUCAUUCUGUUUGCAAAAGCCCAGUGUUUGAUCUGAGUUCUUCCCUUGUGAAGCCAUGGAUAAUCUAUGGGUAUUAAAGAUUCGUGGAUGAGAAAAGAAGAAUUUUAAAUAUUCUCAGGGAUCUACCUGUGUGACCAAGAUAUCUCUAUGUGAGAAAAACAUGACUCUCUGAGGGCUGGAAGGUAAACAAACUUUGUGAUUUCAAAGGGGUUUCCUGAGAUUAGUGAAAAUAGGAAAUAAACCCACAUCUAAUGAAAUGGUGGCAUAGCACAUUUGAAAGGAACCCUCUCCUAUGAUUUUCAGCUCUGGAAUGUGGUGUCAAUUAGAUACUGCCUUUGCCUGAGUGAGAGAUUUGCAUUCCCAUGCAACUUUAUUUCUGGCAAGGGUGACACCUGGCAGCUUAGGAAAGAAGACAAUUUAGUAAAGAAGCAUGACUGGGCAGGUCUGUCCAGCAUCAGCCAUUCAUUGCAUAAGGUGAAGAACUUUCUGGGUUUGAUGCUGUCACAGUCUCUGCCAUUCAGGUGUGCACAGUCUUGUCAUAAAGAGACAUCAAAGCUAGAACAUGAGCAAGCAGAAUGAAAAUGAUGUAGGAGAGAUGUAAGCGCUCUGGAGGUCAGAGGAGGCGGGCAUAUCCACAGAGGGACCAGAAGGGGCCUUGGAACAGUGGUGGAAGUCCAGAGAUGUCUGAAAGACCAACUAGGGUUUCAACAGACAGAUGUGAGUGGGGGCUCUUUAGUUGAGUCCACCAGCUCAGCAAAGAUGUGUGGAAAUAGAACAAUGGUGUUUAAAGACUUGUGAACAGUGAGGCAGAAGCAAAAUAGUGGGCCCACCUUUUAUCAGUCUCCCAAGGAAUAGGGUAAGAGGCUUGUUCUCAAUUCAGUAGAAAAGCAGAAGGAAAAGAUGUGACCAAGAAGUCCAUUUGAGUUUGAAAUUGAAAGGAACUACUAUUAAUUGAAUACUUACAGUGUGCCAGGGACUUGAUAGUUGUUAUCAUAACAUUACAGCCAGGAGACUGAGAAGUCUCUGGAGAGAUUGAGAAAUGAAAAUCACAGUGGAAACAACUGCAAAUUCAAAUCACAAAGCUCACCUUCUUUCUCCCACUCCUUAUUGGCUAGCAGGGAGGAAUGGUGGGGAGAUCACUACAGAAGCCAUUGUGCCAAUUCAAACAAUAGGUAAUGAGGGGUAGAAAGAGGAAGAUGGCUUUGGAAAUGGAAAGAAGGACAUAAAGAAGCAUCCAAGAAGGCCAGUCACUGUGGCAAAGGAAAUAGAUGCCUAGAAAGAGUCUAAUUAAUGCCCAGUUUUGAAGCCUGGACUCAGGAAAUGUGUUUAAAAGGAAAAAAAAAAAAAUCUGGAGAAGGACCUGGUUUAGAGAACAAAAAAAAUAAGCUCAGUUUGAUAGUUACUAUGAGAUGGAUCAGGUUCCAUUUAAGAUGUAGGAGACAUCUGCACAGAAGUGAGAGGUGAAGACUUUGAAUAAAUGGCUAAGGUGAAGGAACACAGAAGGACCAGCAGACAGCUUUAGACAAUGCCCACCUUUAAGUGGAGGAUAGAGAUAGAACUAGGGGAGAAAAGGGAGAGGGAAGUGAAUCAGUAAUGAGCCUGAAAGGCAGGAGAGAAUUUCAAUGCACUGACCCCAAAAGUUAGGAGUCCAGCAGUCCUAGUGCUAGUGGCCUCAAGUUGUAUCAGAGAGCACACUGGUCAUCCUGGGUCAUGGGCCUGGGGCCUGGGACACACUCCAGCCUCAGAGGGUGAGAAGCCAUGGGGAAGGUAAAGAUGGGGAAAGAGACUGACUGGGGUGAGGCUCAGGUCAAAGGUGACCCUAUUCAUGGGUGAUGGGGAUGUAGGAGCAGAGAAGACUGGGAGAAUAAAAAUGCCCCGGAGAAAAAUAGACAAUGGGGCUAAAGCUUAGAGCUGGAGACAGAGAAAAAAAAAAUAAAAAUGGCUUUGUUUUUCUUUCUUUCCUACCUACAGAAAACCUGUUUUUGUAUUUAUUUGCAUCUUCUUAAGGAUCAGCACUUAUGUUACAAGGCAUACCUCCAACCCGGAAAAGAACCACAAGUUACAGUGAAUAACAAUUAGUGCUUUUCUGACGCCUUCUGUUUGUUGUUGUUUGUUUGUUUUAAUUUGUUAUACAUGAUAGUACAAUGACCUUGACAUAUCAUACAUUUGAAUCUGAUGGGAUAUAAUUUCUCAUUUUUCUGAGUGUACAGGUUGCAGAAUCAUAUUGGUCAUGCAGUCACAUAUAUACACACAGUAAUAAUUAAUGUCUGUUUCAUUCUUCUAUCCUUCCUAUCCCUCACCCCUCCCCUCCCCUCCCAUCACUUUUCUCUACCUAAUCUAUGGUAAUGCUCUUCUUUUUUUUUUCCUCAUAUCUUCAUACAUGUAUUUUGUAUAAUGAUGAGUGUCUCCUUCCAUCAUCCAUGAAUUUUCCCUUCUCCCUCCCACCCCUCUUCCCUAUGUAGAGGUAAUCUUCUUCCCAUGCUCUUCCUCCCUAUCCCAUUUUGAGUCACCCCCUUAUGUCAGAGAAGACAUUCAGUAUUUGUUUUUUGGGGAUUGGCUAACUUCACUUAGCAUAAUCUGCUCUAAUGCCAUCCGUUUCCCUGCAAAAGCCAUGAUCUUAUUAUUUUUUAGUGCUGAGUAAUAUUCCAUUGUGUAUAUAUGCCAUGUUUUUUUUAAUCCAUUGAAGGGCAGAGGAAGUACGUUCUCAACUAGUCUUUCUCUUGAAAUCCAAAAAUUAGUAUUUGGAAAAUCAUGCCUGUUUAUACAAUAAGCAUUCUGAAGUGCCUACUGUGUGCCAGAACAGCAGACCCCGUCCCAUAAAUCAGAGUUAACAGGUUGUUGUUUUCUCCAGGUCCUAAGGAAUCCAGAAAACAGAGCAAGCUUCUGUAUUUGUAAUAAUGGAAUUGCAGUAAUAUGUUACUUAUUUUAAAACAGUGAUAAAAACUCAUUGCCUGGAAGUAGCCUUUGUUCGCAGCACUUCAGUAUGCAUUACAGAGCUCCGUGGUGCUUUAAGCAUGGGUUACAAAGUUGCAAAAGAAUACUUGGUGGCAAACUGUCAAGCAAGACCUUAUUUUACAUUUAAUGCCUUGUAGGAAGAAGAGGACACAAGAGGAAUCUUUGGAGAAGACAGGAGAGUUCAGUUGUUGUGAAAAGCAAGGAAUCCAUGCCUUCCAUUGCUGGGGAUCUCCAAGUCACUUGCUGGUUUUGCUGAGCCAGGUCUGGGUGCCAUCCUUAAAUGGAAGAGAAUAUUUACAAAAGAAAAUACAUUCUUCAGGUGGGUAUUUUGUAAUGUACUCCUGAGAGCUGUCGUAGAGAUAAGUUUCAUAAUGGGUCCUUUUAGCAUGAGCUCUGAACCUUCCAUCUGACCCUUCGAAUUGAAUCAUUAAUCUGUGGUCCAGACUCAAACCUCCUGUGUUUCUUAUAACUAAUAAUC